UAAUACAUGCAGUCGAGCGGACAGAUGGGAGCUUGCUCCCUGAUGUUAGCGGCGGACGGGUGAGUAACACGUGGGUAACCUGCCUGUAAGACUGGGAUAACUCCGGGAAACCGGGGCUAAUACCGGAUGCUUGAUUGAACCGCAUGGUUCAAUUAUAAAAGGUGGCUUUUAGCUACCACUUACAGAUGGACCCGCGGCGCAUUAGCUAGUUGGUGAGGUAACGGCUCACCAAGGCAACGAUGCGUAGCCAACCUGAGAGGGUGAUCGGCCACACUGGGACUGAAACACGGCCCAAACUCCUACGGGAGGCAGCAGUAGGGAAUCUUCCGCAAUGGACGAAAGUCUGACGGAGCAACGCCGCGUGAGUGAUGAAGGUUUUCGGAUCGUAAAACUCUGUUGUUAGGGAAGAACAAGUACCGUUCGAAUAGGGCGGUACCUUGACGGUACCUAACCAAAAAGCCACGGCUAACUACGUGCCAGCAGCCGCGGUAAUACGUAGGUGGCAAGCGUUGUCCGGAAUUAUUGGGCGUAAAGCGCGCGCAGGCGGUUUCUUAAGUCUGAUGUGAAAGCCCCCGGCUCAACCGGGGAGGGUCAUUGGAAACUGGGGAACUUGAGUGCAGAAAAGGAAAGUGGAAUUCCACGUGUAGCGGUGAAAUGCGUAGAGAUGUGGAGGAACACCAGUGGCGAAGGCAACUCUCUGGUCGUAACUGACGCUGAGGCGCGAAAGCGUGGGGAGCGAACAGGAUUAGAUACCCUGGUAGUCCACGCCGUAACGAUGAGUGCUAGUGUUAGAGGGUUUCCGCCUUUAGUGCUGCAGCAACGCAUUAGCACUCCGCCUGGGGAGUACGGUCGCAGACUGAAACUCAAGGAAUUGACGGGGCCCGCACAGCGGUGGAGCAUGUGGUUAAUUCGAACCACGCGAAAACCUUACAGGUCUUGACUCCUCUGACACCCUAAAAA
Molecule: ribosomal RNA, 960 nt
Filed under: Bacillus licheniformis
Lineage: Bacteria; Bacillati; Bacillota; Bacilli; Caryophanales; Bacillaceae
Description: bacterial SSU rRNA
Rfam family: Bacterial small subunit ribosomal RNA
Source: RNAcentral